This 490-nucleotide ribosomal RNA is filed under the name uncultured bacterium. RNAcentral describes it as "partial 16S ribosomal RNA". It matches the Rfam family "Bacterial small subunit ribosomal RNA", at positions 30 to 507 of the family's 1533-position model. The record is from RNAcentral.
AUUGAACGCUGGCGGCAGGCCUAACACAUGCAAGUCGAACGGUAACAGGAAGCAGCUUGCUGCUUCGCUGACGAGUGGCGGACGGGUGAGUAAUGUCUGGGAAACUGCCUGAUGGAGGGGGAUAACUACUGGAAACGGUAGCUAAUACCGCAUAACGUCGCAAGACCAAAGAGGGGGACCUUAGGGCCUCUUGCCAUCGGAUGUGCCCAGAUGGGAUUAGCUAGUAGGUGGGGUAACGGCUCACCUAGGCGACGAUCCCUAGCUGGUCUGAGAGGAUGACUAGCUACACGGGAACUGAGACACGGCACCGACUCCGACGGGAGGCCGCAGUCGGGAAUAUUGCGCAAUGGGCGCAAGCCGGAUGCAGCAAUGCCGCGUGUAUGAAGAUGGCCUUCGGGUUGUAAAGUACUUUAAGCGGGGAGGAAGGGAGUAAAGUUAAUACCUUUGCUCAUUGACGGUACCCGCAGAAGAAGCUCCGGCUAACUCCGUG